UGAUUUUGCCAUGGCUGGAUGGCGGGGCCCUGGGCUGCCCUCUGUGAAUGGCCUCUCCGGGUAUUUCCUGACCCCUCCUGUGCCUCUGCUUCCAGGUCACCUUUCUGCUUCCAAUAAAGAAAUGCACAAUGCAGAAAAGAGUUAGAGCCUGCCACAGCCUGGGGUCCUCCGGCCCUUCCCAGGGCUGCCGCUGUGGCUGGAGAGACCCCCGUUUCAGAGCUGGAGAUUCACCCGCUGAACAAAAUAUUCCUUGCAUACCUGCUGUGCUCCCCA
Molecule: long non-coding RNA, 273 nt
Filed under: Dasypus novemcinctus (nine-banded armadillo)
Lineage: Eukaryota; Metazoa; Chordata; Mammalia; Cingulata; Dasypodidae
Description: lncRNA (ENSDNOG00000050266.1)
Source: RNAcentral